Acanthosepion pharaonis is the source of this 99-nucleotide non-coding RNA. NCBI's taxonomy places the organism in Eukaryota, Metazoa, Mollusca, Cephalopoda, Sepiida, Sepiidae. The record is from the annotation of a GenBank genome assembly.
AUUGAAACACCAGUUCCCAUACAAUCUCCAAAGUUAAGCAAUAUAGAGCCUGUUCAGUACCUAAAUGGGUGACUUCUUAGGUAUAGCUGGUACUGUAAG